This 253-nucleotide ribosomal RNA is filed under the name uncultured bacterium. Its description in RNAcentral is "partial 16S ribosomal RNA". It matches the Rfam family "Bacterial small subunit ribosomal RNA", at positions 524 to 776 of the family's 1533-position model. The record is from RNAcentral.
UACAGAGGUUGCAAGCGUUGUUCGGAUUUACUGGGCGUAAAGCGUGCGUAGGCGGUAUUGAGAGUCGCGGGUGAAAUCCCAGGGCUUAACCCUGGAACUGCCUGCGAGACCUCAGUACUAGAGUGUGAGAGGGGUUGGUGGAAUUCCCAGUGUAGCGGUGAAAUGCGUAGAGAUUGGGAGGAACACCUGUGGCGAAGGCGGCCAACUGGCUCACAACUGACGCUCAGGCACGAAAGCGUGGGGAGCAAACAGG